CUGCCCCUGGCCAGGGCAUCCACUCCCUGUGGACAAGUCACAGAGCAGGAUGAAUCGCAGGGCUAUUUGGGAUCAGAGCCUGGAGUCUGCUGCUGAGGUGACUGAGAUCUGUCCCCACAACACAGGCACCUGCCUCAGGCCAGACAGGUGGAGAGGGCCUCACCUGGCGUGACACGCAGGCAGCACUCUCAUGCCCUGCCUUCUGAUGGCAU
This 212-nucleotide long non-coding RNA is filed under the name Homo sapiens (human). RNAcentral describes it as "HSALNT0184752". Lineage: Eukaryota; Metazoa; Chordata; Mammalia; Primates; Hominidae. The record is from RNAcentral.